RNAcentral lists this transfer RNA (68 nucleotides) under Pyrgus malvae (grizzled skipper). RNAcentral describes it as "tRNA-Ala". It matches the Rfam family "tRNA". Rfam says of the family: Transfer RNA (tRNA) molecules are approximately 80 nucleotides in length. Their secondary structure includes four short double-helical elements and three loops (D, anti-codon, and T loops). The record is from RNAcentral. Lineage: Eukaryota; Metazoa; Arthropoda; Insecta; Lepidoptera; Hesperiidae.
AGGAUUAUAGUUUAUAAUUAAAACUUUUGAUUUGCAAUCAAAAAAUAUUGAAUAAUCAAUUUAUCUUA